CCUUUCCAUGCUUGAUUUUCAUACAGAAGACAGAUUGGCAUGUUAAUGUGAGAGUUUGACCUCUUCAUACAAUGGUACAGGGUGUAAAUUGUCAAUGUUAAAUAUUUGGGUGCCAAUGUUUCAUUCCUCUACCACUCCCCUCCCCCAUUUUUUCAAAGCAGUUCAGUUUUGUCUUGUAGAUAGUUAUUUCUGUUUUACUCAGAUUGCCUUUGUUCAUAAAGUCAUAAAACUUGGUAAGUAGAAGUGCAUUGCAGAAGACCUUAAACUGUGCUUAUUUUGGAGAAUACAGAAUUGAACUCAAUAACUAGUAAUUUGCCUUGUAUAAAAUGUCUUGGGAAUAAAA
RNAcentral lists this long non-coding RNA (343 nucleotides) under Bos taurus (domestic cattle). RNAcentral describes it as "long non-coding RNA NONBTAT011038". The record is from RNAcentral. Lineage: Eukaryota; Metazoa; Chordata; Mammalia; Artiodactyla; Bovidae.